Long non-coding RNA from Triticum urartu, 1150 nucleotides. RefSeq lists it as uncharacterized. The record is from RefSeq and is a predicted model, not a curated record. NCBI's taxonomy places the organism in Eukaryota, Viridiplantae, Streptophyta, Magnoliopsida, Poales, Poaceae.
GUUCCAAAAAAAACCGGCAGGCCACAUCCCCGCACUCCUCCCUUGUCCCCAUCUCUCUCCCGCAUGGCUCUCCUCGCCGCCGCCACAGCCCCGCACUCCGACCUCGGCGACCUUCGGCGGGAAUCGACAGUGCCAAGCAUACAACAAGGAUCCCCUCCCUCCGCUCCUCCCUCCUGUCCGGCGAGAUCCGGCGCGCGCGUCCUCCAGCGCCACCCGCGCUCGUCUCCCGUCGCUAGGGUUUCGGCCGGCGUGGUCCGGCGACUCAGGUGCGUCCCUCCACUCCAUCUCCUCCUCCUCACAUCCCUCCCUCACUUCCUCGCCUCGUGUUCUCUCCCUCCCAGAUCCAGGAUGCCAUGGGCAGGAUGGCCUCUUCCUCCCCUGCCCCGACAUCAUGGAGUUGCGGUUGGCCGUGAGCCCAGCCACCUCCUUGCGGCCACAUCAUCUGGAUCUGGCCAGCGGCAGAGGAGGAGUUGGCGGUUGAAGAGGUCCCGGCGAGAUCGGACCCGCCCAAGGGCACGUGGACGAACGCGGACGGCUGACGCGUCCAUCCAGGCGACGUCGACCCCAUCGUACCCCAGCGCGGCCCGGAUCACCGACUCCUCCUGCUUCCCCCAGUACACCGCCUCCCUCAAGUGCCUGGAGACCAACCAGGACAAGAGCAAGUGACAGCAGCAGUUCGACGACUACAAGGAGUGCAAGAAGAGAGAGGCGCCACAACACGGGAAUCCUCCGGCUCCUAGUCCCAUCAAGCACCACCAGCGACGCUGGCGCGACGCCGGUGGCGAGUGCGCUGCAGCGAGCUAGGAGGGCGUCAUGCAGUCCAGCACUUCGAUCUGGACAUCAGGGAAGCGCUCGUGAGGCUUCCCAGGGGGCGGUCGACGCCCACAUCCAGUGCCUCAAGCGUGCCAUGGACCUCUCCAUGAAGCACCAGUACGUCCCUGACGACCUCCAGGUGAAGUAUGAAUCCAAGUCUGAAGCUGCGAAGCAUAUCAGCAAAGAGUAGCAUAUUAUGUGUUGUAAUUUUAGGCGGUAGUAGGCAUAUCUGGGUUGUAUACUGUAACGAUUGUAAUAGACUAAUGUAGUGUUGUUUUGGAUGAAUUUCAUCUGCUCUUUGGUCUGUUUGAAAUAAUGAUUGUGUAUGUGAUUUGAA